UACGUAGGGGGCUAGCGUUGUCCGGAAUUACUGGGUGUAAAGGGCGUGUAGGCGGGAUAUUAAGUCAGAUGUGAAAGUCCUAGGCUCAACUUAGGGAGUGCAUCUGAAACUAAUGUUCUUGAGUGGAGGAGAGGAAAGUGGAAUUCCUAGUGUAGCGGUGAAAUGCGUAGAUAUUAGGAGGAACACCAGUGGCGAAGGCGACUUUCUGGACUUUAACUGACGCUGAGGCGCGAAAGCGUGGGGAGCAAACAGG
RNAcentral lists this ribosomal RNA (253 nucleotides) under uncultured bacterium. Its description in RNAcentral is "partial 16S ribosomal RNA". It matches the Rfam family "Bacterial small subunit ribosomal RNA", at positions 524 to 776 of the family's 1533-position model. The record is from RNAcentral.